UCUUGUGGAUGAUGAGAAUAUUCGUAAAAUACAGUUAUCCCUGUCUGAUAAAUUCAUAUGGUGCUGUCAAUGUUCAAUCUGACACAUUU
Molecule: small nucleolar RNA, 89 nt
Organism: Zingiber officinale
Lineage: Eukaryota; Viridiplantae; Streptophyta; Magnoliopsida; Zingiberales; Zingiberaceae
Product: small nucleolar RNA R38
Exons: 1
Source: RefSeq, a predicted model, not a curated record